RNAcentral lists this ribosomal RNA (253 nucleotides) under uncultured bacterium. RNAcentral describes it as "partial 16S ribosomal RNA". It matches the Rfam family "Bacterial small subunit ribosomal RNA", at positions 524 to 776 of the family's 1533-position model. The record is from RNAcentral.
GACGUAGGGCGCGAGCGUUGUCCGGAUUUAUUGGGCGUAAAGAGCUCGUAGGCGGCUUGUCGCGUCGACUGUGAAAACUUGGGGCUCAACCCCAAGCUUGCAGUCGAUACGGGCAGGCUAGAGUUCGGUAGGGGAGACUGGAAUUCCUGGCGUAGCGGUGAAAUGCGCAGAUAUCAGGAAGAACACCCGUGGCGAAGGCGGCUCUCUGGGACGGUACUGACGCUGAGACGCGAAAGCGUGGGGAGCGAACAGG